Molecule: ribosomal RNA, 432 nt
Filed under: uncultured bacterium
Lineage: Bacteria
Description: partial 16S ribosomal RNA
Rfam family: Bacterial small subunit ribosomal RNA
Source: RNAcentral
ACGAACGCUGGCGGCAUGCCUAACCCAUGCAAGUCGAACGAGACCUUCGGGUCUAGUGGCGCACGGGUGCGUAACGCGUGGGAACCUGCCCUUAGGUUCGGAAUAACUCCCCGAAAGGGGUGCUAAUACCGGAUAAUGUCUUCGGACCAAAGAUUUAUCUCCUUUGGAUGGGCCCGCGUUGGAUUAGCUAGUUGGUAGGGUAAAAGCCUACCAAGGCGACGAUCCAUAGCUGGUCUGAGAGGAUGAUCAGCCACACUGGGACUGAGACACGGCCCAGACUCCUACGGGAGGGAGCAGUGGGGAAUAUUGGACAAUGGGCGAAAGCCCGAUCCAGCAAUGCCGCGGGAGUGAUGAAGGCCUUAGGGUUGUAAAGCUCUUUUACCCGGGAUGAUAAUGACAGUACCGGGAGAAUAAGCACCGGCUAACUCCGUG